Molecule: ribosomal RNA, 266 nt
Filed under: uncultured bacterium
Lineage: Bacteria
Description: partial 16S ribosomal RNA
Rfam family: Bacterial small subunit ribosomal RNA
Source: RNAcentral
GUCCACGCCCUAAACGAUGUCAACUGGUUGUUGGUGGGGUUAAACCCAUUAGUAACGAAGCUAACGCGUGAAGUUGACCGCCUGGGGAGUACGGCCGCAAGGUUAAAACUCAAAGGAAUUGACGGGGACCCGCACAAGCGGUGGAUGAUGUGGAUUAAUUCGAUGCAACGCGAAGAACCUUACCUACCCUUGACAUGUACGGAAGCCGGAUGAAAGUUCGGUGUGCCCGAAAGGGAGCCGUAACACAGGUGCUGCAUGGCUGUCGU